AUUGAACGCUGGCGGUAUGCUUAACACAUGCAAGUCGAACGGAAACGAUACUAGCUUGCUAGUAGUCGUCGAGUGGCGGACGGGUGAGUAACGCGUAGGAAUCUGCCCUCGAGAUCGGGAUAACUUGGCGAAAGCUAGGCUAAUACCGGAUAAGACUACGUUUCAUAAGAAAUGUGGAAAAAGGAGUCUCAACCUUCACUCGAGGAUGAGUUCGCGGACCAUUAGCUUGUUGGUGAGAUAAAAGCUCACCAAGGCUUCGAUGGAUAGCCGGCCUGAGAGGGUGAUCGGCCACACUGGAACUGAGACACGGUCCAGACUCCUACGGGAGGCAGCAGUGGGGAAUAUUGCGCAAUGGGCGAAAGCCUGACGCAGCAACACCGUGUGAGCGAUG
This 391-nucleotide ribosomal RNA is filed under the name uncultured Nitrospina sp. RNAcentral's name for it is "bacterial SSU rRNA". It matches the Rfam family "Bacterial small subunit ribosomal RNA", at positions 30 to 410 of the family's 1533-position model. The record is from RNAcentral. Lineage: Bacteria; Pseudomonadati; Nitrospinota; Nitrospinia; Nitrospinales; Nitrospinaceae.